RNAcentral lists this ribosomal RNA (253 nucleotides) under uncultured bacterium. RNAcentral describes it as "partial 16S ribosomal RNA". It matches the Rfam family "Bacterial small subunit ribosomal RNA", at positions 524 to 776 of the family's 1533-position model. The record is from RNAcentral.
UACGGGGGGGGCAAGCGUUGUUCGGAAUUACUGGGCGUAAAGGGCUCGUAGGUUGCCAACUAAGUCGGACGUGAAAUCCCUCAGCUUAACCGGGGAACUGCAUCUGAUACUGGAUGGCUUGAGUUUGGGAGAGGGAUGCGGAAUUCCAGGUGUAGCGGUGAAAUGCGUAGAUAUCUGGAGGAACACCGGUGGCGAAGGCGGCAUCCUGGACCAACACUGACACUGAGGAGCGAAAGCCAGGGGAGCAAACGGG